CUUGAAAAAGGGAGUUCAAGAAGAGCUUCGAAGAAGCUUUCUUGAUGGAGGGGAGCGGCAGACGGGUGAGUAACGCGUGGGAACAUACCCUUAUCUUCGGAACAACUCCGGGAAACUGGGGCUAAUACCGAAUGUGCCCUUAGGGGGAAAGAUUUAUCGGAUAAGGAUUGGCCCGCGUUGGAUUAGCUAGUUGGUGGGGUAAAGGCCUACCAAGGCGACGAUCCAUAGCUGGUCUGAGAGGAUGAUCAGCCACAUUGGGACUGAGACACGGCCCAAACUCCUACGGGAGGCAGCAGUGGGGAAUAUUGGACAAUGGGCGCAAGCCUGAUCCAGCCAUGCCGCGUGAGUGAUGAAGGCCUUAGGGUUGUAAAGCUCUUUCACCGGAGAAGAUAAUGACGGUAUCCGGAGAAGAAGCCCCGGCUAACUUCGUGCCAGCCGCCGCGGUAA
Molecule: ribosomal RNA, 447 nt
Filed under: uncultured bacterium
Lineage: Bacteria
Description: partial 16S ribosomal RNA
Rfam family: Bacterial small subunit ribosomal RNA
Source: RNAcentral